Molecule: long non-coding RNA, 3071 nt
Organism: Anolis carolinensis (green anole)
Lineage: Eukaryota; Metazoa; Chordata; Lepidosauria; Squamata; Anolidae
Exons: 2
Source: RefSeq, a predicted model, not a curated record
GCUUGAGAAUUCCAGCUGCUUGCGUUCCAGUUAACCGAGAUACUAUAUGAGCCUGGCAACAAGUGUGCAACCUAAUUAAGCUUACUACAAGAGACAGUUUCCAAUCCAUCCAUCCUCCCCUGUAUAAUGAUGCGGAGGAAGCAUAGAGUUUCCAUCCCUCUUUAUCAGCUCCUUUGUGUGCGCCAGGCAUUUUAAACACAGCGUGGGACAAGCGUAUGUUGAAUGAUUGAUCUGUUUGUUGUACCUACAUCUGGCUCUUUCCAUUGUAUGGCUGCCUAUUUUGGAACGUCUGCUCUCGCCCACUCCUGAGCUUCCAGCAAGAAGCUCUCAGCCAGCAAAACACAGGGAUCCAUUUCAUUCAAUUGCAAGGUUCAACUGGCUGAAAGCAAUGGAGAGGAGCAGGAGGUUUAUAUUACGGGAUUCUCCUCCAUUGUCUCGUCUUCCUCUGCCGUCUCCCUCUUAAUCGUCAACCCUUAAUUAGUACAAGUGAUUAUUGUGUGUUGGGAUGUUUACUCAAUAUGUCUAGUAGGGCACAGGGAAUGAUUCAUUCUCUAUAAAACCUGAAGAUCCCCUUUGCAAAAGAACAGUGUAAUUUUGCACGUUGGGUACAUCCUUAUAUCCCACUGCAUAAUGGGUUUACAGUGGUAAUACAUCAUUUUAAAUUAGUACAUCAUGCAACUAUUAUACAAACCUUGGAAGACAGUCACACUUGGCCACAAAUGAUCGCCUAUAGCAGUGGUUCUCAACCUUCCUAAUGCCACAACCCCUUAAUACAGUUCCUCAUGUUGUGGUGACCCCCAACCAUAAAAUAUUUUUGUUGCUACUUCAUAACACUCCUCUUGCUACUAUUAUGAAUCGUAAUGUAAAUAUCUGAUAUGCAGGAUGUAUUUGUAUUUACUGGAACAGAUUUGGCACAAAUACCUGAUAUGUCCAAAUUUGAAUAGUGGUGGGGUUGAGAAGGGGAAUGAUUUUGUCAUUUGGAAGUUAUAGUUGCCUUCAGUCUUCAAUCACCUUCAAUCAACAAGCAUCAAUCACCUUCAAUCACCUUCAAUCAACAAGCAUCCAGAACUCCAACAACGAUGGAAUUGAACCAAACUUGGCAUACAGAACUCCCAUGACCAACAGAAAAUACUGCGCAGGUUUGGUGGGCAUUGACCUUGAGUUUUGGAGUUGUAGUACACCUACAUCCAGAGAUCACUGUGGAAGCAAACAAUGAUGAAUCUGGAUCAAACUUGGCACAAAUACUCAAUAUGCCCAAAUUUGAAAAAUGGUGGAGUUUGUGGAAAACAGACCUUGACAUUUGUAAUUUCUGGGACCCCCUUGAACCACACCAAUGAUAAAAUUGGGCCAAACUUCCCACACAGAACCCCCAUGAUCAACAGAAAAUACUAGUAUUUGACGAUCCCUCUGACACCCUCCUUGUGACCCGCCAAGAUCCCGAACCCCAGGUUGAGAAAUGCUGGUCUAAAGUAAUAAACCUUUAUUGUGUAGGCUAGAUUCUGUUUUUAAAGGGGUCAAUUCCAGGACAUUUUUGUUGCCCUCAUGAAAGAAAAAAAUGGAGAACAGUUCUCCCCAGUAUACUGCUGCUAUUACAACAACAACUACUACUACUACUACUACUACGACUACUAAUACUACUACUAAUAAUAAUAAUAAUCUCCCACAGUUGUCCACUCUAUUCUAGGCCUAGCAUCAUGCUGAGUUUCUUUUCUUUGCCAUUUAUUCUAACCAUAAUUUCUGACCUUCUAGACUACAAGGGAGGGAACGAACCGAUUCCCCGUCUAUGUCAAUUUCACAUUUGUUCAUAACAACAUCUGUGUCUACACAGCCAAAAUAAUCUGGACUCGGUUGCUACAGACAGCCUGCAUGAUACAUAGCUGGAUUUGCAGCACAAUCGCUCCAUCCAGACUUUACUCCACGUCAAGGGAGCACGGGAUUUACUCUGCAGAUUCUUAGAAAACGCUUUCAGGGUAAAUAUCCCCAGUUCCAGAAGAUAUCAGGUCUGAGGCACAAAUGGAUGUUGGAAGUCAGAUCGAAAUGGAGCCAUUGUCCACUGCAAGGAAAUGCUGCCAACUACUGGAUGCAUAGCUCCACGCCAACGUCUCAGCUUCUCCUUGAUUAAUGAGCAUUUCUCAGAAAGCCAGCAAAAUCUCCCUUUGGCGAUACCUCUACAAUACUGUAGGGAUGUCUACACCUCCUGGAAUUUGCUGCGAAGUGCUUGCUUCAGGUUCAAUCACUGGAACUUGCAAAGGCUACUGAGAGUUGCUUGCUUCAGCUGCUGGUACUUUCAUCUGCUCGUUUUCUGCACUUUCCAAGCAGGGCACGGCAGGUUGCUGGGAGUUGCUCACUUUCAUCUCAGUCACUGGUACUCCCAUCUGCUCUUUCUCCUUGCUGUCCAAACAGGGCAUGACGCUUCUCCCCUGAAGAUCCAGAGAAGGACAAAGAGAAGUGAUGGCCUGCCCAUGCAGUGGUUUGGUUCCAGAAGUGGUUGGCAGGAGAGAGAAAGCACUGUUGCUGCAUAUCCCCUGAAGACUCAGGGAUCAAAGAGCAGCAAUGGUCCACCAACUGUUUUCUAAAGCCAUGCAUUGGCUAGCUUGCAGAGGUGGUUAGCAAGGGAAAGCAAUGGUCCACUAAUUAUCUCCUGAAGCCCAUGUAGUCUCUGGCUUCCACAGGUGGUGGGUGAAGGAGAGUCCUUUUGCUCCACACAGCACACAUUCAAACAGCAGUUUGGGCCUCAUGUUUGGUUGACAACAACCAUUGAGAUCUAUGGUGUUCCCUGUUCCUGAAGCUCAAGGCAUGAACAUGCGCAUGGUAGCCUUAGUCUUCAUGGGGAAAGAAUGGCAAGCCUGCAAAUAAUGAAAUCCGCAAAUGCCAAACCUGUGAAUGUGGAGGGCCAGCUGUACAUAUAGCAUUUCUAUAGAUCUACCAUGAGAUUGGACACUUUUGCUGAAUGGCAGGUUUAAAAAAGCCCGAAAGGAAUGCACAUGCCAUGUAUAUGAAAGAAACAAAGAGAUAUGCAUGCACCUUAUGUAACCUAAUUAUGAUAACAAUUAAAAUUGCUUUUAAUUGAA